UUUCCCAAUGCAGAUGACUUCCAUCAUACAGUCUUCAGCAACCUUGAAAGAUUGGACAAGCUUCAGCCCACUCUUGAAGCCUCUGAGGAGUCUCUAGUUCACAAGGACAGAGGAGAUGGAGAGAGGCCAGUCAACGUGAGGGUGGUGCAGGUGGCCCCUCUGAGGCAUGAAUCUAGUAAGUAUUCUGGAAUCACUUACCAAGAAAACAAUCUGGAUGCCAAGAAAGGUGUGGCAUCCUUGCCUGGUUUCAAUGUGAAGAGCCACCCUGAUCCUGGGAUUGUGAUAGGAAUAAGUAUAGGGGAAGUGUUUUUUUAA
RNAcentral lists this long non-coding RNA (315 nucleotides) under Homo sapiens (human). Its description in RNAcentral is "family with sequence similarity 230 member A (ENSG00000277870.6)". The record is from RNAcentral. Lineage: Eukaryota; Metazoa; Chordata; Mammalia; Primates; Hominidae.